AACGAACGCUGGCGGCAUGCCUAACACAUGCAAGUCGAACGAGACCUUCGGGUCUAGUGGCGCACGGGGGCGUAACGCGUGGGAACCUGCCCUUAGGUUCGGAAUAACUCCCCGAAAGGGGUGCUAAUACCGGAUAAUCUCUUCGGACCAAAGAUUUUUCGCCUUUGGAUGGGCCCGCGUUGGAUUCGCUAGUUGGUAGGGUAAAAGCCUACCAAGGCGACGAUCCAUAGCUGGUCUGAGAGGAUGAUCAGCCACACUGGGAAUGAGACACGGCCCAGACUGCUACGGGAGGCAGCAGUGGGGAAUAUUGGACAAGGAGCGAAAGCCUGAUCCAGCAAUGCCGCGGGAGUGAUGAAGGCCUUAGGGUUGUAAAGCUCUUUUACCCGGGAUGAUAAUGACAGUACCGGGAGAAGAAGCUCCGGCUAACUCCGUG
Molecule: ribosomal RNA, 433 nt
Filed under: uncultured bacterium
Lineage: Bacteria
Description: partial 16S ribosomal RNA
Rfam family: Bacterial small subunit ribosomal RNA
Source: RNAcentral